AUCCAGACUCCUACGGGAGGCAGCAGUGAGGAAUAUUGGUCAAUGGGCGCGAGCCUGAACCAGCCAAGUCGCGUGAGGGAGGACGGCCCUACGGGUUGUAAACCUCUUUUGCCGGGGAGCAACGGGCGUCACGUGUGGCGCCACUGAGAGUACCCGGAGAAAAAGCAUCGGCUAACUCCGUGCCAGCAGCCGCGGUAAUACGGAGGAUGCGAGCGUUAUCCGGAUUUAUUGGGUUUAAAGGGUGCGUAGGCGGUCAGGUAAGUUAGAGGUGAAAGCUCGAUGCUCAACAUCGAAACUGCCUCUGAUACUGUCUGACUAGAGUGUAGUUGCGGAAGGCGGAAUGUGUGGUGUAGCGGUGAAAUGCUUAGAUAUCACACAGAACACCGAUUGCGAAGGCAGCUUUCCAAGCUAUUACUGACGCUGAGGCACGAAAGCGUGGGGAGCGAACAGGAUUAGAUACCCCAGUAC
Molecule: ribosomal RNA, 468 nt
Filed under: uncultured bacterium
Lineage: Bacteria
Description: bacterial SSU rRNA
Rfam family: Bacterial small subunit ribosomal RNA
Source: RNAcentral